Aquila chrysaetos chrysaetos is the source of this 1753-nucleotide long non-coding RNA. RefSeq lists it as uncharacterized. The transcript has 2 exons. The record is from RefSeq and is a predicted model, not a curated record. NCBI's taxonomy places the organism in Eukaryota, Metazoa, Chordata, Aves, Accipitriformes, Accipitridae.
CCGCCCUGAGCAGCGAGCGCCGCCGGGCUCGCCCGGCGCCUCGUACCGGCCUCGAGGGGGAGAUCUCCCCGCACCGGCCGGCGAGUGCCGGACCCCGGGUGCAGCUGUGGGUGCUCCGGGAUCCCCUCGACCGUGGGCGUGAACCUCGGCCUCCGGAGCCUGCAUAAGCACACCCAGUCUCAGCUCGUCUCUUUUAAACCGCCACUGGUUUUAUUCGCCUUUUCCGCGACUCACGGAGAUCGAGCGCGUGGGAUCGAGCAUACUGCCAGUGACCGAUCCGCACGGGCUCCGCCGAGCGUCAACACCCGCCAAGUUCCGUACCCCUGCGGAGGCAUGCUCUGCGUCUCCGACUCCCAUCGCGACAGAGGCCACGGUACCGGCUCUGCAAGUAAUACCCACCGAGGCAGGAGACGACGGCACGCCUGGCGUUGCUGCUCCCCCCCGCGGGGUUCUCUGCAUCCUCAGUGCUUGUGGCACUGGGUUUUACUGCUAUUUGCUGGGCUUUGUCUUUGUUUUCUGUUAUUUCGCACGUAUUUUUGUCAGGCCAGGCUGGAGGGCGUACGGGCAGAACAAAAGCGUUCCACCCUCGUGAGGGACUGCAGACAACAUACCAACGGAAGGCACUCGCCAGCCCCGAGAAGACCACCCAUCGCAGCAAGACUGACCCAAAGGGGCGAUUAUUGCCUGCUGGUCUCAAUAGCCUUUGUUAUUGGCAGUUCAAAAGCUUUCCUGGUUCUCAUUCUCUAAGUCUCAAAUCUAAGUCGUCUUUUGUUCCCUGCAUCUCCUGUCUUUGUAUAAAAUACGGCUGCUCCUGUUACUUACAACCCAUCGCGCUUUGCGGUCUUAUUUUUGGUGUAAAAUGUUGCCAGAUGCCACCUGCCCCUACAUUUUGACUGUGUAGCCCACCUGAUUGCAGAGCCUGGCAAUUUUUGCAAGGAACCAUUCAUGCCUGGGAACAGAGGAGGCAGAUGACAGCAGCUCACUACUGUCAGCAGACCUACUGUGGGUCUACAACUUAGACAAGUUGUACCUACAUGGUACAAGACACUCGGGUCCCAUCAGGCUGCAAGCGGGAACUGUAAAUGUAAUCAGAUUGACGGAGGUGGGGCACACCUCUAACUCCAGGGCACAACCCCAGCAUCUCUCCUCCUCCGCCAUCAACCCGGAUCAACCAGUCGCCCGUCUGCCCAACUCCUUGCACUUCACACAGAGGUCACAGUGCAAGGCUGGAAAACGACACACCGACAAGUUGGGAAAUGAGCCAAUAGACCUAAAAGGGAAACAAGAAUUCCCGAUUUCUGACCUAGAAACUGAGCCACGCAGCCUCCCUCUGUCCUGCUUUUCCAUGGCUGGCACAGGAAUUGAAGAUAGAUGGAGGAAGCAGACAACAGCCAGGUUUCUCAACUAUGGAACUAGACCUGCAAGGAGUUUGUGUAAGAUUCAGAUUUUAUCACACAAGUGCUGAUCCAAAUGACACAAAAAAAACCCUGCUUGUAUCUUCAAACUCUUGGAAAAAGCUACAGCUGAAGCUCUUGUAGGUUUUAUCAUGCACAUUACGAUCAAACAUUUUCAAAAAUGGUCAUUGUUUUUGAAUGGCUUCACUUCAAAAUGAGCAUCUGUUUUUCCAGAUCUGUAAAAAUGGCCCAGGGCUGGGUAGCACCAGACAUCAGAUCUUGAAGCAUCCAAAAAUCAAAAGAUUAUGUUAGCCUGCAUGUAUACACAAACCACAGUUUAUACAAACAAUAAGAGAAUU